This 88-nucleotide unclassified non-coding RNA is filed under the name Pseudomonas granadensis. Lineage: Bacteria; Pseudomonadati; Pseudomonadota; Gammaproteobacteria; Pseudomonadales; Pseudomonadaceae. The record is from RNAcentral.
GUGGGAGCCAGCCUGCUGGCGAUGACGGUCUGUCAGUCGACUGAUGUGCGCAAUGAUGAACCGCAAUCGCCAGCAGGCUGGCUCCCAC